GGCGGAACUGCGCCGCUAAUAAAUCACGACUCGGGGAACGAGGAGCUCCAAAGCUGGAGCUAGAAAAGGAGUUAUUCGCAUGCGUAUAGAACUUCCAUCAAGUUAUGGCUGGCUCAUUUAGACCAAAGCACGUAGUAAAAUGGAGACUGUACACUGAAAGUGUGAGUACA
Long non-coding RNA from Thamnophis elegans (Western terrestrial garter snake), 170 nucleotides. RefSeq lists it as uncharacterized. The record is from RefSeq and is a predicted model, not a curated record. Lineage: Eukaryota; Metazoa; Chordata; Lepidosauria; Squamata; Natricidae. The transcript is spliced from 3 exons.